CUAGGACUUGUGCAGUAAUUUUACACUCUGCAAAACUAGCAGCUUGAACCUGAAGUGCCUUUCCUCCCUCCUGUGCCACUCCAAUGGGCCUCUGGCGCCAGGUUCCGCUGCAGGCCUGGAGUUCCCCAGCUGGUUCAACCAAAGUUGCUUCCCACUGCUAACACUACUGUGGGCUGAGACAGGCUUGCCUCUCUUACAGACUUGUUUUUGUCAUCUAUUAAAUGGGGAUUUGGAUCUGCCUGUGUACCUAGAAGAGCUACUGGCACUGGUCCUCUGGUUCCCAGCUGGUCAGUCACAAGUGUAUCUCCUGGUAAGACUGUUAAGACGACUCCAUUUGGUUUCCAGCUCGCUGCUGCCUGUAACUCCAGUUCAAGAGGAUCCCACAUAAUCUUCUGACCUCUAAGGGCACCGCACACACAUGGCGCACAUGCAUGUACAGAGGCAAACAUCAACACACAUAAAAAUAUAGAUACAAAAGUUUAAAAAUAAAGCAUUACUGUAGUAAUAAA
Molecule: long non-coding RNA, 509 nt
Organism: Mesocricetus auratus (golden hamster)
Lineage: Eukaryota; Metazoa; Chordata; Mammalia; Rodentia; Cricetidae
Exons: 2
Source: RefSeq, a predicted model, not a curated record